RNAcentral lists this ribosomal RNA (394 nucleotides) under uncultured bacterium. RNAcentral's name for it is "partial 16S ribosomal RNA". It matches the Rfam family "Bacterial small subunit ribosomal RNA", at positions 523 to 918 of the family's 1533-position model. The record is from RNAcentral.
ACACGUAGGGGGCGAGCGUUGUUCGGAAUCAUUGGGCGUAAAGGGCGUGCAGGCGGUCCUGCAAGUCCGGCGUGAAAGACCCCGGCCCAACCGGGGGGACGCGCUGGAAACUGCGGGGCUUGAGUACAGGAGGGGAUGCCGGAAUUCCAGGUGUAGGGGUGAAAUCUGUAGAUAUCUGGAAGAACACCAAUGGCGAAGGCAGGCAUCUGGCCAUGUACUGACGCUGAGACGCGAAGGUGCGGGGAGCAAACAGGUUUAGAUCCCCUGGUAGUCCGCACAGUAAACGAUGUGCACCAGGUGGCGGGGGGUCGACCCUCGGUACCGUAGCUAACGCAUUAAGUGCACCGCCUGGGGAGUAUGCUCGCAAGGGUGAAACUUAAAGGAAUUGACGGGG